UUUCAGGUAUUGUAGUGGUCUGCAUGUGUUGAAGGGGUCUAACACGGUGGAGGUUCAAUUCCUUCCCUGAUAA
Naegleria gruberi is the source of this 73-nucleotide non-coding RNA. The record is from the annotation of a RefSeq genome assembly. Lineage: Eukaryota; Heterolobosea; Eutetramitea; Acrasida; Naegleriidae.